CAGUAGCCGCGGUAAUACGAAGGGUGCAAGCGUUAAUCGGAAUUACUGGGCGUAAAGCGCACGCAGGCGGUUUGUUAAGUCAGAUGUGAAAUCCCCGAGCUUAACUUGGGAACUGCAUUUGAAACUGGCAAGCUAGAGUCUUGUAGAGGGGGGUAGAAUUCCAGGUGUAGCGGUGAAAUGCGUAGAGAUCUGGAGGAAUACCGGUGGCGAAGGCGGCCCCCUGGACAAAGGCUGACGCUCAGGUGCGAAAGCGUGGGGAGCAAACAGGAUUAGAUACCCGAGUAGUCCCUGUCUCUUAUAC
RNAcentral lists this ribosomal RNA (301 nucleotides) under uncultured bacterium. Its description in RNAcentral is "partial 16S ribosomal RNA". It matches the Rfam family "Bacterial small subunit ribosomal RNA", at positions 509 to 807 of the family's 1533-position model. The record is from RNAcentral.